UCACCCCAGGAACUGGUUCAAGGCUGGUAUGGUGGCCACAGUAUCUAUUAAUUGCUCACCAGAACCAAACCCAGGUAUGUUUUUUUUUCUUACCCAUCAGUCCUCUAGGAUAUCUUGAUGUGCGUUGUCAUGUCCCUUCAGGAUCAGUGGCAGGGCAUAGGAAAUGAGAGCACAUAGGCAGAAAACAUGCAUUCACAUGGGAAUUAUGUGGUUUUCUCUCUCAGAGAACUUGUUUACCUUCUGGUCAGCUGUGUUUGAGCAUUUUUAACCAUGUCAGCACUAAUGGUGUCCAGACAAGGACUCUACAUUUUUUGGUUUUACAUUCGGGUCUUGAAUGGGGUAUACUCUGACUGGUUGUAAUAGAUUUUCUGACAAUGUUGAAUUCCAGACUAGUGAGUUUUUAAACAUUCUGCUUCUAUCUUAACACACAUAACAGUGUGCAUUGGGGUGUAUAUUUCAUGGACACCUUGCCAUUGGGCUUGCUUCAAACUGCAUUAUAGUGUCUGUGUAGAACCAACCAGAGGCCCUGCAUGAAAUAGCAUCCCCUCUGCAGCUCAUCAUGAUGUAGUGAAGGAAACUGUUUUAACCCCGCCCUCCACAGUCUCUCAGUAGUGGCAAGGACCACCACUAAAGUGAAAAACUGCAAACAAAAACUAGAAUUUAUUUUAAUUGAAAGAACAUAAUUUCUAGGUCUCUGUGGUCAACUUCCACUGGGAAUUGGCCCUAGAAUCACAUUGGAGGAACUAGAGAUUUCUAGAAAAGUGCCCUCCCUAGAAAUAUCCAUAACAUAAUUGUUAUGAUUGAGCCUCAUGGCUCUGUUACUGGCAGACGUGGGCGUAAGACUCCUCGAGAGUCAGAUACUCUCGAGGAGCGAGAAAGAAAGAGACUGCGAGAUAUCUUUGCAGCACCAUCUGACGAAGAGUCUUUUGAGGGGUUUACGGAGAGAAUGGAGGAGGGGCUGGUUAGCUCGGAAGAGGAUGAGAUGGAUUGGACUCGGGUGAGGGAGGAAUUGGAUGCCACUGGCAAUGAUGGGAUGGAAGAUGAAUGGGGACCUUCAGGAUUAGACCCAUGGACAAGCUCGAGGGAUGGGACGGGAUCCACAGCUGGGGAUGCUGUGGGGCGUAGUCAGAGGUGUUCCAGCUCUGAUGAGGAAAGUGAUGAGGAAACGCCCGGGUUAAGGAGGGCAGCUGAUAGUGAUGAGGAUUUGUAACUGGCAUAAAAUGAGGCUUGGGAGCAAUUGCAAAUUGCGUUGGGCAAGGUAAUCUGGACGAACGCUUGGGAUCUGUGUGGGACGCUUUCCUGAAGACUGGUGUGUUUUCGUGUGCUGAUACCUUUGACCUUCCGUCGUCUUCUUGACGGACGCCAUCUCCUGCUUUGGAUUUCGGACUGAACUGACCACGGCUUGACUUCCCCCUACUCGGACUUGGUGAAACUACAAACGUCUGGCUUGAACUACGGAAAGGAACUGGGUCUACUCUACUGCUUCAAUCCUCGGCUGAUCUGUGUGUAUUGGAAAUCUUGCCUGCUGUGUGGAGGAGUGACUCAAGUUACUCAAAGCACAGUGCUGGCAGCAGAGAGGAAUCUGCUGCCAAUUAAUUGCAUUCUUUUGAACACUUUGUUCCCCAGCUUCCGUUUUGUUUAUCCCCAGGCUGAAGCAAGCUGUUUUGUUUUUACCCGGAUUAAACUCCGGUUUAAUCCGGUUUAUCUUUUGAACGUUUUUCCUUGCCCCUUUUUGCUUUUAAAGGCUAAUACUGCCUGGCCCUUGUAUUUUACGGGCAUUUUGAGUUCUGUUAUCCAAUAAACUCUGUUAUCUUU
Anolis carolinensis (green anole) is the source of this 1815-nucleotide long non-coding RNA. RefSeq lists it as uncharacterized. NCBI's taxonomy places the organism in Eukaryota, Metazoa, Chordata, Lepidosauria, Squamata, Anolidae. The record is from RefSeq and is a predicted model, not a curated record. The transcript is spliced from 2 exons.